RNAcentral lists this ribosomal RNA (598 nucleotides) under uncultured bacterium. RNAcentral describes it as "bacterial SSU rRNA". It matches the Rfam family "Bacterial small subunit ribosomal RNA", at positions 73 to 650 of the family's 1533-position model. The record is from RNAcentral.
CCGGAGCUUGCUCCACCGGAAAAAGAAGAGUGGCGAACGGGUGAGUAACACGUGGGUAACCUGCCCAUCAGAAGGGGAUAACACUUGGAAACAGGUGCUAAUACCGUAUAACAAUCGAAACCGCAUGGUUUUGAUUUGAAAGGCGCUUUCGGGUGUCGCUGAUGGAUGGACCCGCGGUGCAUUAGCUAGUUGGUGAGGUAACGGCUCACCAAGGCCACGAUGCAUAGCCGACCUGAGAGGGUGAUCGGCCACAUUGGGACUGAGACACGGCCCAAACUCCUACGGGAGGCAGCAGUAGGGAAUCUUCGGCAAUGGACGAAAGUCUGACCGAGCAACGCCGCGUGAGUGAAGAAGGUUUUCGGAUCGUAAAACUCUGUUGUUAGAGAAGAACAAGGAUGAGAGUAACUGUUCAUCCCUUGACGGUAUCUAACCAGAAAGCCACGGCUAACUACGUGCCAGCAGCCGCGGUAAUACNUANGUGGCAAGCGUUGUCCGGAUUUAUUGGGCGUAAAGCGAGCGCAGGCGGUUUCUUAAGUCUGAUGUGAAAGCCCCCGGCUCAACCGGGGAGGGUCAUUGGAAACUGGGAGACUUGAGUGCA